This 220-nucleotide ribosomal RNA is filed under the name uncultured bacterium. RNAcentral's name for it is "partial 16S ribosomal RNA". It matches the Rfam family "Bacterial small subunit ribosomal RNA", at positions 524 to 742 of the family's 1533-position model. The record is from RNAcentral.
UACGGAGGGGGCAAGCGUUGUUCGGAAUUACUGGGCGUAAAGGGCGCGCAGGCGGCUGCUCAAGUCAGGCGUGAAAGGCCUGGGCUCAACCCGGGAAUUGCGCUUGAGACUGGGCUGGCUUGAGUGCGGGAGAGGAUGGUGGAAUUCCCAGUGUAGAGGUGAAAUUCGUAGAUAUUGGGAAGAACACCGGUGGCGAAGGCGGCCAUCUGGGCCGCUACGU